Microcebus murinus (gray mouse lemur) is the source of this 455-nucleotide long non-coding RNA. RefSeq lists it as uncharacterized. The record is from RefSeq and is a predicted model, not a curated record. NCBI's taxonomy places the organism in Eukaryota, Metazoa, Chordata, Mammalia, Primates, Cheirogaleidae.
CCGGCCCUCCCUGCCCCACCCUCUUGUCCUAAUUUAGAUGAGUCUUGUGGAGGCUGGCCGUGGCUCAGGAGCUGUGUUGGGGCUGGGGUGCCUCUUUCCUUGGGCAGAUCAAGAAGCCCAAGUCUCGGUGGGGCAGUCGCCCUUCCUGGGCACCUUGGUGCUCGAUGGACACAUGACUUGGCUCUGGCGAAGUGUGUGAGCAGAAGUGGCCGGUGAGCGCCCUCCUCCCCCUCUCUCCUUCCUGCUAAAUGGGAUAAAGACACGAUGGCUGAGGCUGGUGCAGCUGCUUGAGACCCGAGGCGAGCAAGGGAGGCGCUCUGAGAAUGGAGGUCACCACAGCAGGGUCUAACUCAAGGGACAGAGCUGGGGGCCCGGCUCCCUGCUGAGCCUCACCCACCCACCGGCACUUUUACAUGAACGAAAAAAUAAAAGCUCUAGCUUGCUUAAGCCCCCUU